RNAcentral lists this ribosomal RNA (253 nucleotides) under uncultured Turicibacter sp. Its description in RNAcentral is "partial 16S ribosomal RNA". It matches the Rfam family "Bacterial small subunit ribosomal RNA", at positions 524 to 776 of the family's 1533-position model. Lineage: Bacteria; Bacillati; Bacillota; Erysipelotrichia; Erysipelotrichales; Turicibacteraceae. The record is from RNAcentral.
UACGUAGGUGGCAAGCGUUAUCCGGAAUUAUUGGGCGUAAAGAGCGCGCAGGUGGUUAAUUAAGUCUGAUGUGAAAGCCCCCGGCUCAACCGGGGAGGGUCAUUGGAAACUGGGAGACUUGAGUGCAGAAGAGGGAAGUGGAAUUCCAUGUGUAGCGGUGAAAUGCGUAGAGAUAUGGAGGAACACCAGUGGCGAAGGCGGCUUCCUGGUCUGCAACUGACACUGAGGCGCGAAAGCGUGGGUAUCGAACAGG